Molecule: long non-coding RNA, 1596 nt
Organism: Megalobrama amblycephala (Wuchang bream)
Lineage: Eukaryota; Metazoa; Chordata; Actinopteri; Cypriniformes; Xenocyprididae
Exons: 3
Source: RefSeq, a predicted model, not a curated record
UUAUUUAAUCAGAAUAUACUUAUACUUUUAAAUCCACACAAACCAGCCAAAUUUAACUCCUUGCAACUGACUGCAUAACACUCUCACUUUUCAAAAUUCAUUCAAUUCCCAAUGGAAAAAAAAAUAAAACAAGUGAAAAAAAUUUUUUAAAGUUGUAAAUAAAACCAAUAUUAUUAGAGUACAUUUUACAAGAAAAAGCUAUUUCAGUCUUUCUACUUCAAAAUGUCACAUUUUACUAAAUGUGUUGAUUUCAUUCUGUUUCUUUGUACUUGUUUGUGAAGUUUACCAGCAAUUUUUGAGUGAAAAUAGCUUAAAAGUAAACCCACACCAUUUUUUUUUUCAGUGUACAUGGUUGUGAAUGUACUUCCAUGUUGACCGUACCAGAUGGUAAAGCGGCAAAAUAGAUACAUAGCAAGGACAAAACCAUGAUCUGCAGCUGCAUAAGACCCAGCAUAUCUAAAGCUGACCUCAAACAGAGCAGGCAUCUGUGUUUGUGAUGCAGCGGGAGACUUUUUUCAAAGAGACAACAUCUGAUAACAUCUGCAGGGCCAGAGGCUCUCUCUCAUGAUUGAGAAGGGAGAGAGAGAGAGAGAGAGAGAGAGAGAGAGAGAGAGAGAGAGCUAGAAAGAAAAAAGGAGAGAGAGAGAGAGACAGGAUGCAACACUGGGCGCUGAGAAACACAAGUGCACUAAAAGGACAAGAGAAGAGUUCAUAACCAAAGCUCCAGAUAACAAGUGAGUUUUUCCCCCCAGACCAAAACGUUAAAAACUUUCCUCUGUAAUUUAGCAGACUAAUUAAAUCAAAGCUUUUAAUGUACCUUUUAGCCAAGACACUACAUUAAAUAAUUAGUCAUAAAAAGACCUUCAAAACACAUUUAGUGUUAUCGUUUAAGUCAAGGACUGAUUUAAUUGAUUCAUGCAGUCUCUCUUCCAUCAGAUUUACUCAAAUUAAACGAAUUCUCUCAGAGAAUCAAAUCGACGCACAAAGUUAAAAUACAUUUUAUAUACAGCUUGCAGUACACAGUGGCAAGUGCUGCACGAUAUCUGAUCAGAUAACAAAUCACAGAGUCAUUUAAUUGACCCCAGAACAUCUCUGGCGAUUGUGGUCAAUUCGAACAAAUUGAAAUUUUUGCUGUUGCUGCAUGGGUGCGUGCACAGAAGCUCAGGGCUGGCUUUGUUCAGCAGAUCUCCUCUGAUCACUCUGUUUGUUCAGUGGUGUCUUCACUCAUUGUGUUCCCACGUCGAAGCCCCUUUUAAAGCCUCAUCCAGUCGCCAUGCACUGAAUGUACAAGCCAGCAACCACACUUUGCACACCGGGGUUAAAAAGGUCAGACAUCUUGCUCUGCUUCACUGGACGGGCUCUGAAAGUGUUUAACUUAGUCAUGCAAAAUAACCUACAGCUGCAAAAAAGGUUACAUUAUGUAUUGUUCUGAUUAUGUUUGAUGAGAAAAUUAAAUGCUUAUCACAUUUGUUUCUCAUAUGGAAAAUUACUGAGUGUACAAUGUGUUAUGAUGUCUUGAUUGGAUUUAAGUUUUAAAGGAUUAGUUCACUUCAGAAUGAAAAUUUCCUGAUAAUUUACUCACCCCCAUGUCAUCCA